This 253-nucleotide ribosomal RNA is filed under the name uncultured bacterium. RNAcentral describes it as "partial 16S ribosomal RNA". It matches the Rfam family "Bacterial small subunit ribosomal RNA", at positions 524 to 776 of the family's 1533-position model. The record is from RNAcentral.
UACAGAGGGUGCGAACGUUGCUCGGAAUUACUGGGCGUAAAGCGCGUGUAGGCGGGUCGGCAAGUCAGGCGUGAAAUCCCCAGGCUCAACCUGGGAACUGCGCUUGAAACUGCCGGUCUUGAGUAUCGGAGAGGGUGGCGGAAUUCCUGGUGUAGAGGUGAAAUUCGUAGAUAUCAGGAGGAACACCGGUGGCGAAGGCGGCCACCUGGACGAUAACUGACGCUGAGACGCGAAAGCGUGGGGAGCAAACAGG